GGAUGUGAGGACCAUCUGGCUACAAUGUGGGUCCCUGGUUCCCAUGGGUACAUGGUUCACCAGGGAUCUUGCUUGCCAGGUGGGUGUCUCCUUACUCCUUUACCACUCCACAUGUGUCCCUUAUAUAUUCAGUUGACAAAGAUGACCUGCUCUCAUAGAAGAAAGAUGUUCUUUAGUCAGAGUUACAGGGGUAAUGGUGCUUCCCUGCUAGAACAUCCAAUUUGUAGGAUAAUAAAAUUGUCAAACUUCCAAGACUCCAACUCCAGACUCAUCCAAAUGAGAGUCUGUAUAAGCAAGCCUGCUUUUCUUU
Molecule: unclassified non-coding RNA, 310 nt
Organism: Ictidomys tridecemlineatus (thirteen-lined ground squirrel)
Lineage: Eukaryota; Metazoa; Chordata; Mammalia; Rodentia; Sciuridae
Gene: 7SK
Rfam family: 7SK RNA
About the family: 7SK was discovered as an abundant small nuclear RNA in the mid-70s but a possible function has only recently been suggested. Two independent studies have found that 7SK RNA binds the CDK9/cyclin T complex (known as elongation factor P-TEFb).
Source: Ensembl